UUAAGCGACUAAGCGUACACGGUGGAUGCCCUGGCAGUCAGAGGCGAUGAAGGACGUGCUAAUCUGCGAUAAGCGUCGGUAAGGUGAUAUGAACCGUUAUAACCGGCGAUUUCCGAAUGGGGAAACCCAGUGUGAUUCGUCACACUAUCAUUAACUGAAUCCAUAGGUUAAUGAGGCGAACCGGGGGAACUGAAACAUCUAAGUACCCCGAGGAAAAGAAAUCAACCGAGAUUCCCCCAGUAGCGGCGAGCGAACGGGGAGCAGCCCAGAGCCUGAAUCAGUGUGUGUGUUAGUGGAAGCGUCUGGAAAGGCGCGCGAUACAGGGUGACAGCCCCGUACACAAAAAUGCACAUACUGUGAGCUCGAUGAGUAGGGCGGGACACGUGGUAUCCUGUCUGAAUAUGGGGGGACCAUCCUCCAAGGCUAAAUACUCCUGACUGACCGAUAGUGAACCAGUACCGUGAGGGAAAGGCGAAAAGAACCCCGGCGAGGGGAGUGAAAAAGAACCUGAAACCGUGUACGUACAAGCAGUGGGAGCACAGAGCAAUCUGUGUGACUGCGUACCUUUUGUAUAAUGGGUCAGCGACUUAUAUUCUGUAGCAAGGUUAACCGAAUAGGGGAGCCGAAGGGAAACCGAGUCUUAACUGGGCGUUAAGUUGCAGGGUAUAGACCCGAAACCCGGUGAUCUAGCCAUGGGCAGGUUGAAGGUUGGGUAACACUAACUGGAGGACCGAACCGACUAAUGUUGAAAAAUUAGCGGAUGACUUGUGGCUGGGGGUGAAAGGCCAAUCAAACCGGGAGAUAGCUGGUUCUCCCCGAAAGCUAUUUAGGUAGCGCCUCGUGAAUUCAUCUCCGGGGGUAGAGCACUGUUUCGGCAAGGGGGUCAUCCCGACUUACCAACCCGAUGCAAACUGCGAAUACCGGAGAAUGUUAUCACGGGAGACACACGGCGGGUGCUAACGUCCGUCGUGAAGAGGGAAACAACCCAGACCGCCAGCUAAGGUCCCAAAGUCAUGGUUAAGUGGGAAACGAUGUGGGAAGGCCCAGACAGCCAGGAUGUUGGCUUAGAAGCAGCCAUCAUUUAAAGAAAGCGUAAUAGCUCACUGGUCGAGUCGGCCUGCGCGGAAGAUGUAACGGGGCUAAACCAUGCACCGAAGCUGCGGCAGCGACGCUUAUGCGUUGUUGGGUAGGGGAGCGUUCUGUAAGCCUGCGAAGGUGUGCUGUGAGGCAUGCUGGAGGUAUCAGAAGUGCGAAUGCUGACAUAAGUAACGAUAAAGCGGGUGAAAAGCCCGCUCGCCGGAAGACCAAGGGUUCCUGUCCAACGUUAAUCGGGGCAGGGUGAGUCGACCCCUAAGGCGAGGCCGAAAGGCGUAGUCGAUGGGAAACAGGUUAAUAUUCCUGUACUUGGUGUUACUGCGAAGGGGGGACGGAGAAGGCUAUGUUGGCCGGGCGACGGUUGUCCCGGUUUAAGCGUGUAGGCUGGUUUUCCAGGCAAAUCCGGAAAAUCAAGGCUGAGGCGUGAUGACGAGGCACUACGGUGCUGAAGCAACAAAUGCCCUGCUUCCAGGAAAAGCCUCUAAGCAUCAGGUAACAUCAAAUCGUACCCCAAACCGACACAGGUGGUCAGGUAGAGAAUACCAAGGCGCUUGAGAGAACUCGGGUGAAGGAACUAGGCAAAAUGGUGCCGUAACUUCGGGAGAAGGCACGCUGAUAUGUAGGUGAAGCGACUUGCUCGUGGAGCUGAAAUCAGUCGAAGAUACCAGCUGGCUGCAACUGUUUAUUAAAAACACAGCACUGUGCAAACACGAAAGUGGACGUAUACGGUGUGACGCCUGCCCGGUGCCGGAAGGUUAAUUGAUGGGGUUAGCGCAAGCGAAGCUCUUGAUCGAAGCCCCGGUAAACGGCGGCCGUAACUAUAACGGUCCUAAGGUAGCGAAAUUCCUUGUCGGGUAAGUUCCGACCUGCACGAAUGGCGUAAUGAUGGCCAGGCUGUCUCCACCCGAGACUCAGUGAAAUUGAACUCGCUGUGAAGAUGCAGUGUACCCGCGGCAAGACGGAAAGACCCCGUGAACCUUUACUAUAGCUUGACACUGAACAUUGAGCCUUGAUGUGUAGGAUAGGUGGGAGGCUUUGAAGUGUGGACGCCAGUCUGCAUGGAGCCGACCUUGAAAUACCACCCUUUAAUGUUUGAUGUUCUAACGUUGACCCGUGAUCCGGGUUGCGGACAGUGUCUGGUGGGUAGUUUGACUGGGGCGGUCUCCUCCUAAAGAGUAACGGAGGAGCACGAAGGUUGGCUAAUCCUGGUCGGACAUCAGGAGGUUAGUGCAAUGGCAUAAGCCAGCUUGACUGCGAGCGUGACGGCGCGAGCAGGUGCGAAAGCAGGUCAUAGUGAUCCGGUGGUUCUGAAUGGAAGGGCCAUCGCUCAACGGAUAAAAGGUACUCCGGGGAUAACAGGCUGAUACCGCCCAAGAGUUCAUAUCGACGGCGGUGUUUGGCACCUCGAUGUCGGCUCAUCACAUCCUGGGGCUGAAGUAGGUCCCAAGGGUAUGGCUGUUCGCCAUUUAAAGUGGUACGCGAGCUGGGUUUAGAACGUCGUGAGACAGUUCGGUCCCUAUCUGCCGUGGGCGCUGGAGAACUGAGGGGGGCUGCUCCUAGUACGAGAGGACCGGAGUGGACGCAUCACUGGUGUUCGGGUUGUCAUGCCAAUGGCACUGCCCGGUAGCUAAAUGCGGAAGAGAUAAGUGCUGAAAGCAUCUAAGCACGAAACUUGCCCCGAGAUGAGUUCUCCCUGACUCCUUGAGAGUCCUGAAGGAACGUUGAAGACGACGACGUUGAUAGGCCGGGUGUGUAAGCGCAGCGAUGCGUUGAGCUAACCGGUACUAAUGAACCGUGAGGCUUAACCU
RNAcentral lists this ribosomal RNA (2903 nucleotides) under Escherichia coli. RNAcentral describes it as "23S ribosomal RNA". It matches the Rfam family "Bacterial large subunit ribosomal RNA". Lineage: Bacteria; Pseudomonadati; Pseudomonadota; Gammaproteobacteria; Enterobacterales; Enterobacteriaceae. The record is from RNAcentral.